Molecule: long non-coding RNA, 4359 nt
Organism: Hipposideros armiger (great roundleaf bat)
Lineage: Eukaryota; Metazoa; Chordata; Mammalia; Chiroptera; Hipposideridae
Exons: 3
Source: RefSeq, a predicted model, not a curated record
UAAAUAUUUAGCAAACAUUUGGCAAACAUCCCCUUUGUUUCAAGAAAGUCUUGAACAGAAGGUAAAGUGGGAGUAAAUCUCUGUAAAAGUCUUCCAGGACUCAAGUGACAGGCUUGGAUUUUUCAGUAGUUUCAGGAACUGGUGAUGAUUUGGACCCUUCACUCAUAUUUACCGAACAAUUGAAAGAACUCUAGCCAUGACCCUCUCCAUAGUGCCUGCCUCAGAAUAUAAAUAUUUUCAAUAUGUAUCACAUAGUGGAACGAAGCAGUAACAGAAACUUCAGUUUUAAGAUUCCAACAAACCCCGAUUUUCAGCCAACAGAGCUAGAGCGCUGUGUAUUGGGAUAAAAGUUCCUUUUUUCAUCUCUAGCUGACACUCUAAAAGACUCAGAAAUGCCCACUCCGUGGUUCUAUUUUUCAGGUCUUGGGCUGGCAACGUUUCUUUGUACAUUUGAAAGUCUGGUGUUGGCUUGGGAUGUGGGUCUCGUCCCGAGCAGCCCUGCUGUUCUUUAGUCGUUUCUAUAUUCUUCCGUGUUUGGGGUGAUGAGGUGUGUUUCAGAUCAGUUUAUUAUUAUAACUUCUUUGAAACGAAAUGAUGUUUCAAGCAGUCAAAAAAUGUCUGUAUAUUCUGAAUACAUAAUGUUGGCUUAACACGUUUUUCAUUACGGUGAUUUUCUUUACCACAAAUUGCAGGCCUGUCCUGCUAUUCUGUGCCUGGUCGGACAGUUUACACAUCAUUUCCUCCCAGAAAGCAUCUUCCCGGUCAUGGCGGUUGUGCCGUUUUCCUCUUGUGUCACCUGCAUUACCCCAGCAAGCUCUGCCAGCCUUCCAUGGCGGCACCUCCUCUUAGUGGGCUGGAAACUUGAAUUCUAAGGACGUGGUCUAGGCCUUAUUUUCUACAACGUGAUGUAAACCAUGGUGAUUAAAACAGCCAGUUGAAUAGUGGCAAAUUUCAAGUGACUACACUGUGAGGGUAACACUGUCACACAGGUUAAAACACAGCAACAUUAUGACACAGAAAAAGGUGAGUCCAUUUCUGCAGAAACCUUUCCCCCACAAAGUGGGUUAAAAUUUGACUGAGGUAAGUUUGUGUACAUGACCCCAGGGGGACUUCCACGUGGGCCAGGCGGCUGGGACCUGCAGGGCAGUUCCGAGCAGCGUAUCUGAAAGGUACUAUGUGGUUUGUCCUCGUCCACUCUCUUUAGCCUUCUUCCUCGCUUUAAAAGAGAAGAUGCAGCUAGACAGAAUCCUAUGCUGAUUAAGCAAACCCAAGCGUCCUGGGUCCAUUGGCCUGAAUGGGACAUGUCAGCAAUGUAAUUGUUUGCCAGGCUUGCGCUGGAGCUGGGAAUAGAAACGAGGAUGCCUGCCGUCAGGGCUGUUCCAGGCUCGGGGGAGCAGUCGGGGCCGGAGAAGAUUUUAUGGAGACAACGCCUGAGCUGAAGGACAGAAGCCGAUGGAAUAGCAGGGAGCCUUGCCAGGUCUGUCACUGUGGCUUCUGUGGUGCCUGCUGAAGAGGGGGUGUCAAUACUUAUUUGUCUGAACGAGCGAAUGGCUGGGCCAGCCGUCCCCCACGGUAGAACCUUUCAGACUGCGGGCCAGGGCCCUGUCUUUGCGGGACUCCCACUGCGGUGUGGUUUGUCCUUCUAAUGUUCCCAGCAGCCAUCCUGAAUCCCCAGGCCCCAGGCCAGAGGGGUGCCACACUGUGCCGCUCUAGAGACAUGGGGAGACACACAGGUGACCCAGAGCUGCCCUGCUGUCUGCAGUUCACACAGGGGCCCUGGACGGUGUUGGAGGAAAGGAGUGUGGAGACCACGAGAACUUUGGAGCAGCUGGACUCAAGUUCCAGCUCCAUGCAACGCGGUUUGACCUACCUCCUGCCUUCUGUUUGUUUGUCUAAUGCCUCGAGCUGCUGUGAAGCCGAACUUCACGGUUUCAUCAUUAAUCUUCUCAAAGGUUUAGAAAAUUCAGUUUUCACCCCUGUUUACAUCAGAGUCUUUUAGUUUGGGUUCAAUGUGACUUGGCAUUUCUUUGGAUGUUUGGAGAUAUUUUGUCAAUAGGCUCGACUUUAUGUUGUUAGCAAAACUGAAGGCUCUAAAAAUAUUUUUAAAAUUUAUGUGAAGAGCCUAAAUCUGAUCUUAAUUUCUUUUUUAAAAGAAAAAUCUUUUCUUCAGUCUGAAAACUCAACUUUUCAACAGCUAUUUAGGACUAGAAGCAAAAUUUGAUUGAUCCACUCUAAGUCCUUCAUUUUAAAUGAUAAACAAGCCACGUUCGAAAGCCCAGUGUUUUCACAUAUCUCCCUGUGAUCCGAACUUCAGGCGUCACAUCCAUCCCUCAGUCCAGAGUGGAGCCCAGGAGAGCUGAGAGCCCAGUGAAUCGCAUCCUCUUCCCUCAAGAGGAAAACACGGGUGGAAAACUUCCUGGGCAAGUGCUGAAAUGAAUGGGGCUCCUUGUCCACGACAACGUCUGGGCUGGAACCACAGCGGCCGUUCAGGAAUGCGGCUUUCUUGUCUGAGCUCAGGUGGGACAGAAACUGCAUAUUGAGACUUGUUUUUCUGCCAAAUAUUUAUUUGAUGUUUUUCCUCGUCGGAGUAAAGUGACCAACGUGAAUCUGAAUGCACAGAUGUCGUAAAGGAGUGCUUUUGAUCUUAGGUCCUGAACAGAGGCCGUUACUGGGAAUUAAUGAAAUAAAACCACGAAGGUCGUGGGCUCGGCACUGACAGGCCGGCGUGUCUGUCGCUGAGGAGGGCGGGCAGAUCUGAAGGGCUGGCGAGUGGUCCCACCUGCGUUCCUUCAGGCGCUCAGGGCCUGGGGACCUGCUGUGGACACUGGCCCUGACCUGGUGCUCGCCUCUUCCCGCUGGAGGACCAGCCCCACCACAGACGGCCUGGCUCUGAGGACAGUGGUGGCCCACGGUCCUCGCUCCGGAAACAUGUUCUGAUUUAGUGACUCUGCCAAGAGGGCUCAUUUGUUUAGCCUGAGUUUCCACAUUGCGAGUUUAUUGUCACCAUGUAAAAACGCCGACACAUGGAAGACGCUGACGCGGUGCCUACCUGUGAGGACGGCGCCUUGUCCCUCGUGUGGCCAAGUGAGCCAGGCCCUGGGGACAGGGAUGGGGACGGGCCCACUGCUGCGGGUGGCGCAGCCGGGCCGAUGCAGGCGUCCGACUCUGGAUGCUGAGUCAUGAGCGGCAUUAGAGCCCACCCUGAACUUGAGCUUGGCUCAUUUUACCUGGAAGGUCACAGGCCAGAUAAGCAGUUUGCGGGGCCUGAGAACGGGCGACUCGGGCUGCCCUUGAACCCUCACCCGCCUGCUCCCCUCCUGCUCAAGCUCUUGGGAGGCAGGUGUGGCUAAGGCCUGGGUGGUGUUGCUUACGACCAGCGACCAGCUGGAUUUGAGAUUUGAGACUAUGUAUUCAACGUUCCGAAUGACAGGUGCCCAGGAGACUAUUCUAAGUCCCAAAACAGAUGGAUGUUUCUAUCCUCAGGUGCAUUUGUGACUCGCUGACACUUGAGAGCUAGCUGACAGCCGCACAAGAUAAGGGCAGCAGCCCACGAAUAGGCCAGCCUCCUCUCCCUGGCCUUUCGGUGGUCUCUCAGAUGACACUCACUUCUGCAUUUGGGGACAAUAGAUACAAAAUGGAGUGGCUUAUUGUUAGGAGGCAAAUCCCCACGGGUCUUGCAUUUCUGCACAGCUUCUCAAGGAUGUUUGCACAACACACAGUAUAGGAAGAUAAAGACCAUGUCCUGCCUUGGGGCCAAGGGCAGCCCUAAAUGUUUGGGGAUUCCUAAAUCGGGGUGCCCAGCUGUGACAUAAGCCCACUGUCCAUUCAUCCUCCUUCUGGGCCUCUCCAUCACCCUGAGACCUGGGGGGUGAGGGGAACGGACGUGUACAAGGGGUCACGCUGUCUGUGUGUACUCUGCCCACAGAGCUUGUGUCUUCGUCGGACAUCCAGGGGCUGGAGGGCAGACCAGCUCAUCGUCCUGUGAGGGGGCAAAGCCUCAGAAACGGCACAGCUCUUGAUCACAUCUUUCCCGAACCACACACACACACAGGCUGAAAACCGUAAGCAGGUCUGUACUCAGCUCGACGUAGUAUGGUAGACAGGAUAACAGGCCCAAAAGAUGUCACGUCCUAGUCCCCAGAACCUGUGAAUGUGUCAAGUUACAUGGAGAAAGGGAACUGAGAUGGCUGAGUUGACCUUCCAUAGCGGAAGUGUCCCCGUGUCCCCGUGUCAUCACAACGGUCCUUAGGAGUGCAGGAGGAGGCAAAAGAGGGGUGAGUGACAACAGCGGAACUGGCCUGCGGUGCCUGGCUCUGAGGAGGGAGGUGGGCGGGUCCCUCCAGGAGCUGGGAAAGGGGG